ACGUGGUGAAAGAGCAGUAAGGUGUGAGUAGCACGUGAUCUGGGACGCGCCUUUCGUCUUUGUUGAGGGCGGAAGUUCUCGGACACGCCCCUCCCUGAGUUUUUCCUUAACAGGGAGAAAAAAAUAUCUCCCGGAGUGGCCGUAAAGCGGAACAGACAAUGGAGGAAGACAUUUUGACGACUCUAAUGACAUCAUCCUUUUGUUAGAGGGGGUGGUGGGCGGGGCUUGCCCUUUGUGGGAUUCGCUUGGCAGCUCUAAGAAUCCAUUCGCUUGGCUCCCGCCUGGAGUGACCUAGUGGGCGGAGGUUAGGAAGGCGUAUUAGAGACUGAGGGCCUUUCCACACAGCUGAAUAAAAUCCCACCUUAUCUGCUAUGAACUGGAAUAUAUGGCAGUGUGGACUCAGAUAACCCAGUUCAAAGCAGAUAUUGUGGAAUUUUCUGCCUUGAUAUUCUGAGAUAUAGGGCUGUGUGGAAGGGCCCUAGGCAGCGUCUAUAGGAGUAUACUAAUGUCAAGAUUAAGGAAGUUAUCUGGAAGAAGGUCACAAAGAGGUGCCCACAUCUUUGCUGGGUGGGCUCUGAAAACAAAGAGGAUAUUCCUGUGGCUUCUUUAAGACCUCCAGAGCCACAACAAAACCACACAGAGGAGCCCCCCCCCCCCUCUCUCUCCAGGCACACAUCGUUGAAGUGAGGUUCCAUUCCUGCCAAGGUUCCAGGGCCGGUGGUGUUUACCUGGUUGCCAUGGAGACCAGACGUUCCGAGGGGCCUCCAGUCAGUUGGCCCUGCAAUUCCCUUCCUGGCCACCAACAUGGGCAGAGGGCUCUCCAGGCAGGUCCAGUUGAGGCCGCUCCACACAGAUGCCUCUCUGGCCCAGGCCCCUCCGCACAACCCCCUCAGGAUGGCCCUGGACACAGGGUUCAGGAAGGUCAGGACGAGGCACUCACAUCUUCACCGGGUGUGCUCCAAAAACGCAGAGGAUAUUCCUGUAGCUCCUCCAAGCGGUUUCUGGGCACAAAAUGGGUCCUGCUGACUGGCCAUUCACUGGAGUGAGUUUGGACAAGGGAGAUGAAGAAGAGGAUCCUCUCCAUCAUCUCUCCAGUUAAACCAUCCAAUAUCAUUGCAGGUGAUAGUUGGCCGGCAGGACUCAUUUCGUGCCUGAAGAUUGCCACAACACGGAAAACAGGAGGUAACACGAUUACUUCCGGGUUUACAGAGAAUGUCAUCUGGCCACCUUCCUGAUUGCUGCAGGAGCUCCUGGGAUAAAGGUACUUUCUGGACGGGCCCCGAGACAGCAUGAAGUAAUGAGUAACAGGCACAUGCCCUGUUCCACUGAAAAGUAGUGGACCAUAGCAGGCCGACUCUUUACUGCUCUGCCAACUCCAACCUUGUGAGCCGGCAGGAACUGAAACGGACAAGGACCCUAUGCUCCAUCCUUUUAAAAUGCAGCAUUCUCAUCAAAUCCACUCUCCUGCCAGCUUUCUAGAAUGAAGCCUGCAGGGAAGCGGAAUCUCAAUGAAUGGGCCAAUACAAACGGAAGAAUCUGCUUUUUCACUUGCCACAUAAGCUAUUCCCAGAGCAAAGGACUCUGUGUGUCAAAGGAAGAAAUUUGGCAAGAAAUGUGUCAAGCAAAAUGGGACACACAACUGAUCCCUGAGCAAAAAGCACAUUUGUAUAAAUGUACAAAUAUCUGUGGAGAAAUGCUCAGCGAAGGUAGAGGAAACUUUCUCCAAACUGAAAAUUUCCACAAUCCCUGGCAGUUCAAACUGCAUUAUAUAGCAGUGUAGAUCCAGUGUAGUGUUGCUUUUCUUUUUAGCGGUCCAGUGCAUAAAAACUUUGUUUUGUGCACAAAAGUAUUUAAAAUAUGACAUAAAAUUACCUUCAGGCUAUGUGUAUAAGAUGCUUAUGAAACAUAAAUGAAAUUCAUGUUUUGA
Anolis carolinensis (green anole) is the source of this 1927-nucleotide long non-coding RNA. RefSeq lists it as uncharacterized. The transcript has 8 exons. The record is from RefSeq and is a predicted model, not a curated record. Lineage: Eukaryota; Metazoa; Chordata; Lepidosauria; Squamata; Anolidae.